This 673-nucleotide long non-coding RNA is filed under the name Nicotiana benthamiana. RNAcentral describes it as "long non-coding RNA (NBEN_LNC030006)". The record is from RNAcentral. Lineage: Eukaryota; Viridiplantae; Streptophyta; Magnoliopsida; Solanales; Solanaceae.
UUGGGUGCCCUCUUCACCUUCUUCUGUUAAUUGUUGUUCCUCUACUUCUGUAUGCUCCAUUUCUUAUUCUUGUACUCAUGUUUGUUCUUCUGACCUUAAUUUUGUUGCUUUGAAUUGCAAUGUAAAUAGUUCCAUUUGUAAUAAUAAAACUGAUGCAAAUGACAUGAAUUACAUUUGGCACUGUUUUUUCUUCUGCCCUUAAUUCUGUUGCUUUGAAUUCCAAUGUAAAUAGUUCCAUUUGUAAUAAUAAAACUGAUGCAAAUGGCAUGAAUUACAUUUGGCAUUUAAGAUUGGCUCACAUUCCAUUUGCAAGCAUGAAACACAUUUCUGCUUUGUCUUUUCCUUUUGCUUCCAAACAACCAUUUCCCUGUUCUGUUUGUCCCAUGGCUAGGCAAACUAGACUUCCUUUUCCUGACAGUUCAGUCAGUACCUGUAGAACUUUCCAACUGAUUCAUGUAGACACUUGGGGCCCUUAUCACACACCCACAUCUUCUGGCUCAAGAUAUUUUCUUACCAUAGUUGAUGAUUUUUCUAGAGCAACCUGGACACAUUUACUGGGGUCUAGAAGUAAUGCUUUCAGCCUUCUUAAGUCCUUUUUGUGAAUGGUCAAGACUCAAUUUAAUGCUACUGUACAAACUAUCAGAAGUGAUAAUGCUUUGGAAUUGGGGUCUNN